RNAcentral lists this ribosomal RNA (253 nucleotides) under uncultured bacterium. RNAcentral describes it as "partial 16S ribosomal RNA". It matches the Rfam family "Bacterial small subunit ribosomal RNA", at positions 524 to 776 of the family's 1533-position model. The record is from RNAcentral.
UACGUAGGGGGCAAGCGUUGUCCGGAAUCAUUGGGCGUAAAGCGCGCGUAGGCGGCCCGGUAAGUCCGUUGUGAAAGUCAAAGGCUCAACCUUUGAACGCCGAUGGAUACUGCCGGGCUAGAGUCCGGAAGAGGCGAGUGGAAUUCCUGGUGUAGCGGUGGAAUGCGCAGAUAUCAGGAGGAACACCAAUAGCGAAGGCAGCACUCUGGGACGUGACUGACGCUGAGACGCGAAAGCGUGGGGAGCAAACAGG